CGGCAACACGUCCUACGGGAGGCAGCAGUGGGGAAUAUUGCACAAUGGGGGAAACCCUGAUGCAGCCAUGCCGCGUGUGUGAAGAAGGCCUUCGGGUUGUAAAGCACUUUCAGUAGGGAGGAAGGUAGUGUAGUUAACACCUGCACUAUUUGACGUUACCUACAGAAGAAGCACCGGCUAACUCCGUGCCAGCAGCCGCGGUAAUACGGAGGGUGCGAGCGUUAAUCGGAAUUACUGGGCGUAAAGCGCAUGCAGGCGGCCUGUUAAGUCAGAUGUGAAAGCCCGGGGCUUAACCUCGGAAUUGCAUUUUGAAACUGGCAGGCUAGAGUCUUGUAGAGGGGGUAGAAUUUCAGGUGUAGCGGUGAAAUGCGUAGAGAUCUGAAGGAAUACCAGUGGCGAAGGCGGCCCCCCUGGACAAAGACUGACGCUCAGAUGCGAAAGCGUGGGGAGCAAACAGGAUUAGAUACCCCUGGUAG
Molecule: ribosomal RNA, 476 nt
Filed under: uncultured bacterium
Lineage: Bacteria
Description: bacterial SSU rRNA
Rfam family: Bacterial small subunit ribosomal RNA
Source: RNAcentral